This 73-nucleotide transfer RNA is filed under the name Caenorhabditis brenneri. Its description in RNAcentral is "tRNA-Val (TAC) (tRNA-Val-TAC-5-1)". It matches the Rfam family "tRNA". Rfam says of the family: Transfer RNA (tRNA) molecules are approximately 80 nucleotides in length. Their secondary structure includes four short double-helical elements and three loops (D, anti-codon, and T loops). Lineage: Eukaryota; Metazoa; Nematoda; Chromadorea; Rhabditida; Rhabditidae. The record is from Rfam by way of RNAcentral.
GGUCUUAUGGUGUAGUGGUUAUCACGUCUGCUUUACACGCAGAAGAUCGCCGGUUCGAACCCGGCUAGGACCU